UUUUAGUUGGAUAUACAUAAUUUUGUAAAGUUAAAUAACGUACUUGUGGUUUCUACGUGACAUUAUGAAAAUAAUUUUCUACCCCUCGUGGUAGCUUAUUUUUAAAGAAAAGGUUUUCAUAUGAAAAACGGUUUUAAAGAGGGUCUUUUGGUUUUCAUGAUUUUUAGUAUUUCAAAAUAAGUUUUCGGGUGAAAAAUAUUUUAAACUACUCGAUGUGGAUAUAUGAUUAAAAUAUGGUAAACUUGUGAUUGAAUGAAUAUGAAUUGGUUGAUGUAAUGUGGUGAUUGUAUAUGGAUGUUUAUACACUGUGGUUGUAUCUUAUACUUGAGCGAUGCCAUGCAAAUAAAGGAGAGACUUUGUCCGUGUGAACAGUGGGUUUCCUGUAUUUGUGGUGGAUCUGACAUCCCCUGAGGUUAAGGCUUUCAAAAAAGAAAAAAAAAAAAA
RNAcentral lists this long non-coding RNA (444 nucleotides) under Ananas comosus (pineapple). RNAcentral describes it as "long non-coding RNA (ACOM_LNC024164)". Lineage: Eukaryota; Viridiplantae; Streptophyta; Magnoliopsida; Poales; Bromeliaceae. The record is from RNAcentral.